Molecule: long non-coding RNA, 895 nt
Organism: Mauremys reevesii (Reeves's turtle)
Lineage: Eukaryota; Metazoa; Chordata; Testudines; Geoemydidae
Exons: 3
Source: RefSeq, a predicted model, not a curated record
GGGGAAAGAUAGGUAAGGGAGACCCAUUGAACUAAUCAGCAGGACUUCUUUAAGACUAUGUUGAAAUGAUCCUUGUUAAAAACAGAUGAUGUGGAUCAGAAAUUAAUGAACCAAAUAAAUGUAUAUUGGCCUAACUGGUGGACAAAUGACACAAGCUCUUCCACCCUCCCUCCCUUUUUGAGUCCUUACAGAGACUUUUCCCCCUUGAAGAUGGAAGAGAACUGACUGAGGCUACUGAAGCAAAAUGCCACUCAUCUCCUGUGACCCUAAGCCUUUGUCAUCCUAAUCCUGAGAUGAGUUUCUAACCAGACCAUGCCAAGGAGAGGGACUCAGAUAACUCUGCCACUCCACUGGCUACAGCUGAAUCCCAAACACCAUCUCAGAUGAAAUGGUAUCAGACUAAUAGCAGCAACUCCUCCAGCUCAUCUCAACUUUUCUUUCCCCCAGAGAGAUGUUACCAAAUAAGAUGGUCAAAGCUAAAGGAAACAAGAACUGUUAAAAUUAAAGCCUUUCAAAUAGCCACAGGAAGGAGGAGGUACAGCAUUCUCCUACUACAGAGAAGGUGGAGAAUCCAUUGGAGAGCAAGUCAUCCAGCCCCUACCUCUACCAAUGCAUCAGUUUCCUAUUUAAGAGGGAGAUGGAGGGGAAUCAUGGAAAAAACAAAACCCCAGACAGGAAGGAGAUCAUAAUAGAACAGAACAAGGGAGCAAAAAAGGGCCAGAAACCUUAAUGAAGCAUACCCAGAUAUUCUUGGCCUUUUAUGGUCCAUCAACUCUCCCAGAGGUCACAUCACUGACUUAAUCCUAUCAAAAUUUAUCUUCUCCUCUACUCAUUUUUACUGAUCCAAACUUCAGCUAUCAUUCCAAUUCUGUAUUGUUCUGCCUAAAUAAACAGU